This is a long non-coding RNA of Populus euphratica (Euphrates poplar), 328 nucleotides long. RefSeq lists it as uncharacterized. NCBI's taxonomy places the organism in Eukaryota, Viridiplantae, Streptophyta, Magnoliopsida, Malpighiales, Salicaceae. The record is from RefSeq and is a predicted model, not a curated record. The transcript is spliced from 2 exons.
AUAGUAAAAUUAUAAGAAAAGUAACAAUGAUUUGACAAAGUUUAAAUAACUAAAAGAUUGUGAAUAUGUGUGUCCUAGAUAUGAAGCAUUUUAUAUCAUUUCUUUUCCUCAGUGCAACAUGCUGAAUAAUUUAUGCUCUUCAUAUGGAAAAUUCAUUCUUGGUAAGGGUAUAACUCGAUCAAAUUUAAGUGAUACAGCUCAAAUUUUAUAAUUUAAGUGAUACAGAUCAAAUUUUAUUCUGCUCCCCUUUAUUUAAAAAUUUCCAUCUGACAUCCAUGCAUAUUGACAUACACAGCACACCUUGUCGUGAGAAAAACAUCAAUAAAAU